Molecule: ribosomal RNA, 485 nt
Filed under: uncultured bacterium
Lineage: Bacteria
Description: bacterial SSU rRNA
Rfam family: Bacterial small subunit ribosomal RNA
Source: RNAcentral
UGGGCGCAAGCCUGAUCCAGCCAUACCGCGUGGGUGAAGAAGGCCUUCGGGUUGUAAAGCCCUUUUGUUGGGAAAGAAAUCCUGUCGAUUAAUACUCGGUGGGGAUGACGGUACCCAAAGAAUAAGCACCGGCUAACUUCGUGCCAGCAGCCGCGGUAAUACGAAGGGUGCAAGCGUUACUCGGAAUUACUGGGCGUAAAGCGUGCGUAGGUGGUGGUUUAAGUCUGCUGUGAAAGCCCUGGGCUCAACCUGGGAAUUGCAGUGGAUACUGGAUCACUANAGUGUGGUAGAGGGAUGCGGAAUUUCUGGUGUAGCAGUGAAAUGCGUANANAUCAGAACGAACAUCCCNUGGCGAANGCGGNAUCCUUGGGCCAACACUGACACUGAGGCACAAAGCGUGGGGAGCAAACAGGAUUAAAUACCCCUGGUANGUCCACGCCCCAAACGAAUGCGAACUGGAUUGUUGGGUUGCAACUUNGCACCCC